This 656-nucleotide long non-coding RNA is filed under the name Erythranthe guttata (spotted monkey flower). RNAcentral describes it as "long non-coding RNA (EGUT_LNC003466)". The record is from RNAcentral. Lineage: Eukaryota; Viridiplantae; Streptophyta; Magnoliopsida; Lamiales; Phrymaceae.
AGUGGAAAUAUGACUAUUAUAUGACUAGCAACUGCGUAAUGUGACUACAAGUAAUCAGCACUUGAAAAAACUUGCAAUAUUAACAGCAAAAUACAUUGCAAAAAAAAAAAAUGACUACGAAAAAACAAAAAUAACUAAUGUGAUCAUUCAACAAUGGCCAUCGAACAUGUUUUUUUGUUGCGGUAUCCAACUCGGUUGCACCGACUUCACUUAAUCUUCCGUUUGAUCUUCUCUGUUAAAUAUGACUACACUGUUGAACAUAUGCAGCACUACAAAAAAAAAAAAAAAACAAAUAUAACUAAGUUUUUAAACAUGACUACUCUGUCAAACGUGACUACUCUGUAAAAUACAUUGCACUACAACCGACUAAUCUCGUAACUCAAUGGAUUUUCCAGAUCUAAACAUUCAGAAUAUGCAGAAUAACACAAAAAUUAAUAAAAUCAAGAAUAAUUGAAAAUCAAUGUAUUCUUUCAUAACAAACAAAUAAUAGAUCUGAAAUUCAGAUCCAUAACAUAUUAUAUUGCUAGUUCGACAAUUAAUUCGAGAAAAAUAAAAAAAUAAAAUUUACCAAUUAAUAUAGUAUAUAUUGGUAUUCAGCGUCGAGAUAUGGGAAAUCUCCAUGUAGAAAUCCGACGGAGGCGGCGACAAGGUGGAGA